GACCAACGCUGGCGGCGUGCUUAACACAUGCAAGUCGAACGGAAAGGCCCUGCUUUUGUGGGGUGCUCGAGUGGCGAACGGGUGAGUAACACGUGAGUAACCUGCCCUUGACUUUGGGAUAACUUCAGGAAACUGGGGCUAAUACCGGAUAGGAGCUCCUGCUGCAUGGGGGGGGUUGGAAAGUUUCGGCGGUUGGGGAUGGACUCGCGGCUUAUCAGCUUGUUGGUGGGGUAGUGGCUUACCAAGGCUUUGACGGGUAGCCGGCCUGAGAGGGUGACCGGCCACAUUGGGACUGGAAUACGGCCCAGCCUCCUACGGGAGGCAGCAGUGGGGAUUAUUGCACAAUGGGCGGAGGCCUGAUGCAGCAACGCCGCGUGCGGGAUGACGGCCUUCGGGUUGUAAACCGCUUUCGCCUGUGACGAAGCGUGAGUGACGGUAAUGGGUAAAGAAGCACCGGCUAACUACGUG
Molecule: ribosomal RNA, 468 nt
Filed under: uncultured bacterium
Lineage: Bacteria
Description: partial 16S ribosomal RNA
Rfam family: Bacterial small subunit ribosomal RNA
Source: RNAcentral